Alligator sinensis (Chinese alligator) is the source of this 971-nucleotide long non-coding RNA. RefSeq lists it as uncharacterized. Lineage: Eukaryota; Metazoa; Chordata; Crocodylia; Alligatoridae. The record is from RefSeq and is a predicted model, not a curated record. The transcript has 3 exons.
AGAAAAGAGAAGUAGAGCCGGGAUGCCAGAGCAGCGUUGGUCACCGCAGGGGGAUAGAGAACCCUGAGAUUAGAAGCAAGAAGCUUAUUGCCCCGCUUGCUCAAAAGCCUCAGGAAAGGAGACAGAGCAAGUCUAAAGGUUUUGGACUUGGAAGGAACCUGCCUCCUCCUGGCCCUGUGACCUUGAGAUCCACAGAAGUACAGAAGCAGCACAAAACAGCUGAAAGAAAGUAUGCUUCUUUAUCGAAAGCCAAAGGAUGCGACCAACUUCUAGCAUAUGGAACCAUUUCCACACUGCAAGUUAUUCUGAGAGAGAAAUGCGAUUUGCAAAUACUGUCAGAUGAAAUAUGCAUUUCCAAAAGCUACUAGGAUGACCAAACACAUCCUUGUAUGUAAGAAGUGCCCUGCAGACAUUAAAAAAAAUCCUUCAUGGGUGUAAGUGAGGAGGAGGUAGAUCAUGAUGAUGAAAAUGCAAGUAGCUCUUUCCAACGUUCUCAAUCCAGAAGUCCUCCUCCUCUAACAUCAGCAUCACAAAGGGUUGCUCAAUCAACAUCCCCAAGUAACCAAAUAUUGCAACCGACUGUAUACAAAAGACUCUCAAUAGCUUCAUUUGUAGACAAGAUGUCACCUGAAGAUCAGGACAAAAUUGACCAAGCUCUUGCAAGAGCAAUAUAUUCUUCUGGGAUGCCAUUGUCAAAAACUGACAAUGCACACUGGCGGGAAGCUUUUAAAUUACUAAAACUAUCAUACCAUUUGCCUAGCAGACAUUCUUUCAGCAAGCUUCUUUUAGAGUCAGAAUAUGAACGUGUAAUGCAAUCUGUGCAAGGUAAAAAUCAACGAAACACUGUCUUGCAGCAUGCGCAGAUGGAUGGACAAACAUGCGGGGAGAAGAAAUCAUAAUCUCUGUGAUAACAACACCUCAGCCAGUUUUUUACAGAAGCAUUGAAACAGGAGAGAACAGGAAUACUGCAG